Molecule: ribosomal RNA, 262 nt
Filed under: uncultured bacterium
Lineage: Bacteria
Description: partial 16S ribosomal RNA
Rfam family: Bacterial small subunit ribosomal RNA
Source: RNAcentral
UUAGUGGCGGACGGGUGAGUAACGCGUGGAAAACCUGCCGUAUACUGGGGGAUAACACUUAGAAAUAGGUGCUAAUACCGCAUAAGCGCACAGCUUUGCAUGAAGCGGUGUGAAAAACUCUGGUGGUAUACGAUGGUUCCGCGUCUGAUUAGCUAGUUGGUGGGGUAACGGCCUACCAAGGCAACGAUCAGUAGCCGGCCUGAGAGGGUGAACGGCCACAUUGGGACUGAGACACGGCCCAAACUCCUACGGGAGGCAGCAG